UAUCUCCCCUGGGCUGCUUGGGGCACUGGCGUCUGCCCUGGGGAGGGGAGGGGCCCAUCUUCAGUGACAGCUGAGGGGACAGAAGGAAGCAAAGGCGGCAGGUGCCCCUGGAGCACUGCCUGCGCCAAAGAGGGAGGAUUCGUUCGUCAACCACAGAUUUUACCGCCCAAGGCCGGAAGAGCGCCCCGUUACCAGGCGGACACAGGACUCUGGGCUGGCGGGCCGUCAUGCAAACCCAAGGGACAGCGAGGAGGCAGAGGUCCGGGACGGCCACCUGAGAGACCAAACACUUAUUUCAGACGGACAGAGCACGACCAGAGGUGACUGAUGGAACGACCGCGUCGACUCAGCGGUCAGCCGGCCCGCACGUUUGUUCACCUGCCCUUGCCACCCACGGGGGACGUCGGGCAUCGUUGCAGGCAGGUGGAGACAGCGACUCCUCUGCUCGUGUACGGGGCUGCGUGCAGCACGGCAACCGCCAGCUCGGUCCCCUGCAGCCCCUCCCGCACACCAUGUGUGUCUGCCACUCUGCGGGAGGGGCAAUCCGUGCAACGUGGCGGCCAAUCAGGUGACUCUCCUCAUCUAAAAAAACAAUCGCUUUAAUGACACCUUUCAACCCUGGGGUAACAUAAAAACCACAGCAUGACUUGUCUUGCAUUGGCCAGAGUCCAUUAUGGUUUUUUUCCAUUAAAUAAAAGGCAUUUUUCAAUUUCA
This is a long non-coding RNA of Artibeus jamaicensis (Jamaican fruit-eating bat), 714 nucleotides long. RefSeq lists it as uncharacterized. The transcript has 2 exons. NCBI's taxonomy places the organism in Eukaryota, Metazoa, Chordata, Mammalia, Chiroptera, Phyllostomidae. The record is from RefSeq and is a predicted model, not a curated record.